UACGAAGGGGGGCUAGCGUUGCUCGGAAUCACUGGGCGUAAAGGGUGCGUAGGCGGGUCUUUAAGUCAGAGGUGAAAGCCUGGAGCUCAACUCCAGAACUGCCUUUGAUACUGAGGAUCUCGAGUUCGGGAGAGGUGAGUGGAACUGCGAGUGUAGAGGUGAAAUUCGUAGAUAUUCGCAAGAACACCAGUGGCGAAGGCGGCUCACUGGCCCGAUACUGACGCUGAGGCACGAAAGCGUGGGGAGCAAACAGG
RNAcentral lists this ribosomal RNA (254 nucleotides) under uncultured bacterium. Its description in RNAcentral is "partial 16S ribosomal RNA". It matches the Rfam family "Bacterial small subunit ribosomal RNA", at positions 524 to 776 of the family's 1533-position model. The record is from RNAcentral.